RNAcentral lists this ribosomal RNA (507 nucleotides) under uncultured bacterium. RNAcentral's name for it is "partial 16S ribosomal RNA". It matches the Rfam family "Bacterial small subunit ribosomal RNA", at positions 28 to 507 of the family's 1533-position model. The record is from RNAcentral.
GACGAACGCUGGCGGCGUGCUUAACACAUGCAAGUCGAACGGGCCUUGUCCCCUUUUUUUUUGGGGGUGGGGUUAGUGGCGAACGGGUGAGUAACACGUGAGUAACCUGCCCCUCACUUCUGGAUAACCGCUUGAAAGGGUGGCUAAUACGGGGUGUUCUGGCCUGCUCGCAUGGGUGGGUUUGGAAAGAUUCGACCGGUUUGGUUGUUUUGGUGGGGGAUGGGCUCGCGGCCUAUCAGCUUGUUGGUGGGGUGAUGGCCUGCCAAGGCUUUGACGGGUAGCCGGCCUGAGAGGGUGGGCGGUCACACUGGGACUGAGACACGGCCCAGACUCCUACGGGAGGCAGCAGUGGGGAAUAUUGCACAAUGGGCGCAAGCCUGAUGCAGCGACGCCGCGUGAGGGAUGGAGGCCUUCGGGUUGUGAACCUCUUUCGCCAGUGAAGAAGGUCCUGCUCUUUGUGGUGGGGUUGACGGUAGCGGGGUUAAUGAAGCGCCGGCUAACUACGUG